GGGUUGUGAGGUUAAGCGACUAAGCGUACACGGUGGAUGCCCUGGCAGUCAGAGGCGAUGAAGGGCGUGCUAAUCUGCGAUAAGCGCCGGUAAGGUGAUAUGAACCGUUAUAACCGGCGAUACCCGAAUGGGGAAACCCAGUGUGAUUCGUCACACUAUCAUUAACUGAAUCCAUAGGUUAAUGAGGCGAACCGGGGGAACUGAAACAUCUAAGUACCCCGAGGAAAAGAAAUCAACCGAGAUUCCCCCAGUAGCGGCGAGCGAACGGGGAGGAGCCCAGAGCCUGAAUCAGCAUGUGUGUUAGUGGAAGCGUCUGGAAAGGCGCGCGAUACAGGGUGACAGCCCCGUACACAAAAGCGCAUGUGCUGUGAGCUCGAUGAGUAGGGCGGGACACGUGGUAUCCUGUCUGAAUAUGGGGGGACCAUCCUCCAAGGCUAAAUACUCCUGACUGACCGAUAGUGAACCAGUACCGUGAGGGAAAGGCGAAAAGAACCCCGGCGAGGGGAGUGAAAAAGAACCUGAAACCGUGUACGUACAAGCAGUGGGAGCACCCUUUGGGGUGUGACUGC
Molecule: ribosomal RNA, 569 nt
Filed under: Salmonella enterica subsp. enterica serovar Hadar
Lineage: Bacteria; Pseudomonadati; Pseudomonadota; Gammaproteobacteria; Enterobacterales; Enterobacteriaceae
Description: partial 23S ribosomal RNA
Rfam family: Bacterial large subunit ribosomal RNA
Source: RNAcentral